This 519-nucleotide ribosomal RNA is filed under the name Schizophyllum commune. RNAcentral's name for it is "LSU rRNA". It matches the Rfam family "Eukaryotic large subunit ribosomal RNA", at positions 91 to 615 of the family's 3401-position model. Lineage: Eukaryota; Fungi; Basidiomycota; Agaricomycetes; Agaricales; Schizophyllaceae. The record is from RNAcentral.
GAGUGAAGCGGGAAAAGCGCGGUCUCCGGCCGUCCGAGUUGUAAUUUAGAGAAGCGUUAUCCGUGCUGGACCGUGUAUAAGUCUCCUGGAAUGGAGCGUCAUAGAGGGUGAGAAUCCCGUCUUUGACACGGACUACCAGUGCAUUGUGAUGCGCUCUCGACGAGUCGAGUUGUUUGGGAAUGCAGCUCAAAAUGGGUGGUAAAUGCCAUCUAAAGCUAAAUAUUGGCGAGAGACCGAUAGCGAACAAGUACCGUGAGGGAAAGAUGAAAAGAACUUUGGAAAGAGAGUUAAACAGUACGUGAAAUUGUCGAAAGGGAAACGGUUGCAGUCAGUCGCGUUCGCCGGGGAUCAACCUUGCUUUUGCUUGGCGUAUUUCCCGGUGGAUGGGUCAGCAUCAGUUUUGACCGCAGUUGAAAGGCUGGAGGAAUGUGGCACCUUCGGGUGUGUUAUAGCCUCCUGUCAUAUGCUGCGGUUGGGACUGAGGAACUCAGCACGCCGCAAGGCCGGGAUUCGUCCACG